CAGAAACCUCAUCAAUGGAUGCAUCAAUGAGGACAAGUUCAUCUCCUGAAGAGGUCGACAGAUCUGGUGAGCUCUCUGUGUCCAUCAGCAAUGCAAGCGACCAGGAGAGGGAGUGGGUUGAGGAAGACGAACCUGGCGUAUAUAUUACCAUCCGGGCUCUGCCUGGCGGUAUCAGAGAACUCCGGCGUGUUCGAUUCAGGUUUUUCUUCCAUCCUCCUUUAUAUUAGUAAAUAAUGUCUUGGUAGUGUUCCGGAUCCCUGAAUUCACAUAGUAGAAAAAGGUUAGUCAUCUGAUAAUUCUGAGCAUGCACUAGGCUGCAAGUAAGAACAACAGCUUGAUGCUAAUCGCCCAGGUUGAAUCCCUAUGAUCAAACAAUUUGGAAGCAACUGAAUUACUAGCUAGCAGGUGAUCACGGCAAGAGACUUACCAUCCCCUUUGCUUUGCAGCCGAGAGAGAUUCAGCGA
RNAcentral lists this long non-coding RNA (464 nucleotides) under Oryza brachyantha (malo sina). Its description in RNAcentral is "long non-coding RNA (OBRA_LNC002496)". The record is from RNAcentral. Lineage: Eukaryota; Viridiplantae; Streptophyta; Magnoliopsida; Poales; Poaceae.